Long non-coding RNA from Dermacentor silvarum, 312 nucleotides. RefSeq lists it as uncharacterized. The record is from RefSeq and is a predicted model, not a curated record. The transcript has 4 exons. NCBI's taxonomy places the organism in Eukaryota, Metazoa, Arthropoda, Arachnida, Ixodida, Ixodidae.
AAAUGGUGCUUGCUCGCUGUUACAGCGAACCCAAACUGCAACACACAUUCGUACCAUGCACGACCGGGGAGGCGUCCAACCACGCCCAUGUGUAAGUGGUGCUAGGCGGCGUCACCAACUGCCGCCUCGAACAACGCGAUCGCGAGCUCCUGUCGAGGUGCCGUUUUGGAUCAAUAAAAGGAUGAACUCACCUUACGCCCAUUUCCUUCACCGUUCUGGUGGUUGAAGCUUCCGGUUAUCUUUCAGGUGAGUUCCGGCUCAUCGCCCGUGGACUCGGACGCCACUCCGAGCCCGUAACUGCGAGCGACCCGC